Molecule: non-coding RNA, 1558 nt
Organism: Paramisgurnus dabryanus
Lineage: Eukaryota; Metazoa; Chordata; Actinopteri; Cypriniformes; Cobitidae
Source: RefSeq, a predicted model, not a curated record
UACGCCGAACUCGGACUUGUGUCCUUCGAAGUUCGAACUUGCAAGUUCAGACUCGGAAGAACGAACUCCUGACGCGAAAUGCAUUCUGGGAAACUUCGCUGUCAUAAGUACACACAAGUCUCCUCUGAUGCAUCCUCGAUAAAAUGGGCGGAUCAAGAACACAUCCGGGGAUUUUAUGUGAACUUGGGCUUGAUGCGAACUUUGAAUUGGAACAGUACUUGGGCCGCGGCUGAUGACGUUUCACAAGUCCACAAGAACACAAGUACAGAUAAGAACGCAUAUUGAGAAACGGCUAAGAUGCCCUAUUGGCCGCUGGGGACUGAGAAAUACGGCGGCCAUCUUAAACCGGUCGUUCUCCUAGUUUCGUUGCAUGGCAGCAGAUAAGAUGUCAGAGCACUGUGGAGCAUUUUCCUGUUCUAAUCGGCCGACGAUCGCAAAUAGAGCCCGGAGGAUUAUUUUCACAAGUACUUUUUAACAUCGCGGUACUAUUGGUUGUAUUUUGUGAAUAGAAUAUUAACAGAAAAUUGAGAAAGAGCCAGCUUUUUGAUUUUACUGUACUGAAAUCGUAGCCAGCUAACGUUCGCUAGGCUAUGUUUACUGCACCAGCCGCUGUUCACCCUGCAAGGAGAGUGGGGUGCUGUGAGCUGCGUGAUCCGCCGAGCUUUAAAAAGCUAAGAUGUCAACAGGGACAGAGGAUGUUUUCCUUCGUAGGGAGGACAUUGAGGAGACUCGGUUUGGAAUCGACAACUAUCAGUCUGACUCGUUGUCACUGGUUGUGUUUGUGUUUUUAAAGAUAAGGCUCCACCAUGUUGCCAAACUCACAUCUCUUGAACUACAGAAAGGGAGCACGGGAAAGAAGCUCUGGAAAACAGUCCUCUUUCAGGGGUGUGUGUGUGUGUAUGUGUGCGUGCGUGCGUGCGCGCGCGUGUGUGGGGGGGUUUAUAAAUCAUUUUAAAUUGUUUCUUCACCAUAUUAAAAAGUCUUAUUUUAUUGCAACUAUCUGUUUCUGCAUCUUUGUCAUAUUUAUAGUGUGUGAAUUAUAAAAUAUCUUAUGUCCUACACCACAUAUUUUUGAAGAGUACAAGAGUAUGUGGCAAAAUCUAGUGGCAGUUGUUGGUAAAACCAUUAAAAUUGUGACCCAAACAUAAUUUUUUUGUGAUUUGGAUCACAACUACUUGAGACAUAUUGCUUCAUGUUAACAUUAUUUAUUGUGUGAAACAUUAACUUUUAUGCAAUUUUAUUUAUAAAUUAAUAUGUUACUGCAUAAUUUGAUAUAUUAAAAUAAAGGUAAACGGCUAUAAAAAUAUUUAUAUUUAAUAUUUUUACGUUCUAACUCAUUUGUGAAAAACCCUAAAUUGUCUUCUUUAAAACAAGACCAAGAUUAGGUUUCUAGCCCAAAGAAUCCCAGAGAAAUAUUAAUUUAAAGAUGUACAUCACAUUGUCACCCCCACUCAAACAGGAUUUGCGGCACAUAAGGGGUUAAAAUACGCCGAACCAUGUGUCCUAUAUCAUAGCUCCAUGAAUGACCUUUGCAGCAAAAAAACCCGCUUGAAAAUCU